Molecule: unclassified non-coding RNA, 239 nt
Filed under: Hevea brasiliensis (rubber tree)
Lineage: Eukaryota; Viridiplantae; Streptophyta; Magnoliopsida; Malpighiales; Euphorbiaceae
Source: RNAcentral
AGAACUUCAAGAAACAAAGAAAAUAAAGAAAGAAUAGAGAUCUGAUUCUUGGAAAACAGAAUAAGAGCACAGAGGAAGGAAAUUUUGAGGGAAAAUCUGGUAAAUAGAAAGAAGAAUGCCAAGAAGGAAGAACAGAAAAGAAUUUUGAACAAAGGAAAGGGAAGAUGAAUAGAAGGAAAAGAAGAAAGGAAGAUGGUAGAUUAGAGAAGAGAGAAUAGAAGAAUAAGAAGAAGAAGAAG